GUAGGGAAUAUUGCAAAAUGGGCGAAAGCCCGAUGCAGCAACGCCGCGUGGGCGAUGAAGGCCUUCGGGUCGUAAAGCCCUUUUUGAGGGGAUGAGGAAGGACAGUACCCUCAGAAUAAGCCUCGGCUAACUACGUGCCAGCAGCCGCGGUAAAACGUAGGAGGCGAGCGUUAUCCGGAUUUACUGGGCGUAAAGCGCGUGCAGGCGGAUUGGAGAGUUGGAUGUGAAAGCUCCCGGCUUAACUGGGAGAGGUCGUUCAAUACUUCCAGUCUUGAGUGCAGUAGAGNGAAGUGGAAUUCCGGGUGUAGUGGUGAAAUGCGUAGAUAUCCGGAGGAACACCAGUGGCGAAAGCGGCUUCCUGGACUGUAACUGACGCUCAGACGCGAAAGCUAGGGUAGCAAACG
RNAcentral lists this ribosomal RNA (404 nucleotides) under uncultured bacterium. Its description in RNAcentral is "bacterial SSU rRNA". It matches the Rfam family "Bacterial small subunit ribosomal RNA", at positions 354 to 774 of the family's 1533-position model. The record is from RNAcentral.